UCAGUUGAGGCCAGGAGUUCGAGACCAGCCUGGCCAACAUGGACUCUGGUGGAAAAGGAGCUCUGCCCUGUACAGUCUCCUAAACAGAUGACAUUAGCUGGACUAUGAAUAGGCCAAGAGAAAUUCUUUGGCCCUUCUAGCUUCAGGUCGAGGCACUAAGGAUGCAGCAGGAAACAGCACAGACAAGGGCCCUGUUGUCAAAGACCUUCCACUAUAUUGGGUAAUGUUGGGACUCAGAAACUGAUACCCCAAGAUACGGUGCUUUGACAUGCUGAACUGAAGAGGAAGCCUCAACAUCCAUCUGACCUUUCCCACGCACUUCCUGUCUCUCAAUCCUCUGUCUCUCCCAAAGCACAGGAUGAAGUUGUUUUCUGAAGUUCCCUUAUUUACCUAAAGUCUAAACUCAUUAAAGAAGAAAACAAUUA
Cebus imitator (Panamanian white-faced capuchin) is the source of this 425-nucleotide long non-coding RNA. RefSeq lists it as uncharacterized. Lineage: Eukaryota; Metazoa; Chordata; Mammalia; Primates; Cebidae. The record is from RefSeq and is a predicted model, not a curated record. The transcript has 3 exons.